UGGCCAGGUGGAUCUCAGAGCCAGGUGAGAGUGAUGGUAACCCUCUCUCUGUGGCCAGGUGAGAGUGAUGGUAACCCUCUCUAUUUGGCCAGGUGGAUCUCAGAGCCAGGUGAGAGUGAUGGUAACCCUCUCUCUGUGGCCAGGUGAGAGUGAUGGUAACCCUCUCUGUGGCCAGGUGAGAGUGAUGGUAACCCUCUCUCUGUGGCCAGGUGGAUCUCAGAGCCAGGUGAGAGUGAUGGUAACCCUCUCUCUGUGGCCAGGUGAGAGUGAUGGUAACCCUCUCUAUUUGGCCAGGUGGAUCUCAGAGCCAGGUGAGAGUGAUGGUAACCCUCUCUCUGUGGCCAGGUGGAUCUCAGAGCCAGGUGAGAGUGAUGGUAACCCUCUCUAUUUGGCCAGGUGGAUCUCAGAGCCAGGUGAGAGUGAUGGUAACCCUCUCUCUGUGGCCAGGUGAGAGUGAUGGUAACCCUCUCUAUUUGGCCAGGUGGAUCUCAGAGCCAGGUGAGAGUGAUGGUAACCCUCUCUCUGUGGCCAGGUGAGAGUGAUGGUAACCCUCUCUCUCUGUGGCCAGGUGGAUCUCAGAGCCAGGUGAGAGUGAUGGUAAACCUCUACUCAGAGUUCCACAGACUGACUUGGGUCUCCCUGUCU
Long non-coding RNA from Oncorhynchus gorbuscha (pink salmon), 645 nucleotides. RefSeq lists it as uncharacterized. The transcript is spliced from 3 exons. NCBI's taxonomy places the organism in Eukaryota, Metazoa, Chordata, Actinopteri, Salmoniformes, Salmonidae. The record is from RefSeq and is a predicted model, not a curated record.